AAUUUUGGUCAAUGGGGGAAACCCUGAUCCAGCCAUCCCGCGUGUAUGAUGAAGGCCUUCGGGAUGUAAAGUACUUUUGGCAGAGAAGAAAAGGUAUCCCCUACUACGGGCUACUGCUGACGGCAUCUGCAGAAUAACUCCCAGCUAACUACGUGCCAGCAGCCGCGGUAAUACGUAGGGUGCAAGGGUUAAUCGGAAUUACUGGGCGUAAAGCGGGUGUAGGCGGUUCGGAAAGAAAGAUGUGAAAUCCCAGGGCUCAACCUUGGAACUGCAUUUUUAACGGCCGAGCUAGAGUAUGUCAGAGGGGGGUAGAAUUCCACGUGUAGCAGUGAAAUGCGUAGAUAUGUGGAGGAAUACCGAUGGCGAAGGCAGCCCCCUGGGAUAAUACUGACGCUCAGACACGAAAGCGUGGGGAGCAAACAGG
This 424-nucleotide ribosomal RNA is filed under the name uncultured bacterium. Its description in RNAcentral is "partial 16S ribosomal RNA". It matches the Rfam family "Bacterial small subunit ribosomal RNA", at positions 360 to 776 of the family's 1533-position model. The record is from RNAcentral.